UGACGAUUGUUCCUCCUGCUGCUUUGAGUUUGGGCUGGUCAGGAUUUUUGAUCGUCAUAGAGAAAUCAGAGUCUACCUUACCCUGUGUGCGUCUGGCUGCUGGUGGCCACACUAGAUUUGCGGGACUCUACAGCA
Molecule: small nucleolar RNA, 135 nt
Organism: Xyrauchen texanus (razorback sucker)
Lineage: Eukaryota; Metazoa; Chordata; Actinopteri; Cypriniformes; Catostomidae
Product: small nucleolar RNA SNORA79
Exons: 1
Source: RefSeq, a predicted model, not a curated record